This 253-nucleotide ribosomal RNA is filed under the name uncultured bacterium. Its description in RNAcentral is "partial 16S ribosomal RNA". It matches the Rfam family "Bacterial small subunit ribosomal RNA", at positions 524 to 776 of the family's 1533-position model. The record is from RNAcentral.
UACAGAGGUCUCAAGCGUUGUUCGGAUUCAUUGGGCGUAAAGGGUGUGUAGGUGGCGCGCUAAGUCGGGUGUGAAAUCUUGGAGCUUAACUCCGAAACUGCAUUCGAUACUGCCGUGCUUGAGGACUGGAGAGGAGACUGGAAUUUACGGUGUAGCGGUGAAAUGCGUAGAUAUCGUAAGGAAGACCAGUGGCGAAGGCGGGUCUCUGGACAGUUCCUGACGCUGAGGCACGAAGGCCAGGGGAGCGAACGGG